RNAcentral lists this ribosomal RNA (497 nucleotides) under uncultured bacterium. RNAcentral's name for it is "partial 16S ribosomal RNA". It matches the Rfam family "Bacterial small subunit ribosomal RNA", at positions 28 to 507 of the family's 1533-position model. The record is from RNAcentral.
GCUGAACGCUGGCGGCGUGCCUAAUACAUGCAAGUCGAGCGAACAGACGAGGAGCUUGCUCCUCUGACGUUAGCGGCGGACGGGUGAGUAACACGUGGAUAACCUACCUAUAAGACUGGGAUAACUUCGGGAAACCGGAGCUAAUACCGGAUAAUAUAUUGAACCGCAUGGUUCAAUAGUGAAAGACGGUUUUGCUGUCACUUAUAGAUGGAUCCGCGCCGCAUUAGCUAGUUGGUAAGGUAACGGCUUACCAAGGCGACGAUGCGUAGCCGACCUGAGAGGGUGAUCGGCCACACUGGAACUGAGACACGGUCCAGACUCCUACGGGAGGCAGCAGUAGGGAAUCUUCCGCAAUGGGCGAAAGCCUGACGGAGCAACGCCGCGUGAGUGAUGAAGGUCUUCGGAUCGUAAAACUCUGUUAUUAGGGAAGAACAAAUGUGUAAGUAACUAUGCACGUCUUGACGGUACCUAAUCAGAAAGCCACGGCUAACUACGUG